CCAUUCACAUGUUUCCUUGCUUUUUGAUGAGUUCUGUUCUGCACAAGCUAAAUCAAAUACUAAGAGGAAGAAGAGGUAAAAUCCAAGAAGCAAGAUCCCAUCCAUACUAUGGCUUUGAGAAUUUGUGAAAUUGAUCUUUGAAUUUUGUUUAUUGUCUGUUUGUUAUCACCAAUACUCAACUUCUUGUACUCAGAGGAUGAACGGAAAAAAAUACUCGAGCCCUUUACAAACUUAUAGCUGUUUGGUAUAAUUCAUGAGGUUGUUCUUCAUCAUCCGGAUGUGCUAAAGGCUGUUAAUCGGUAACUAAUGCUAGAUCCUGUCCAGUGCAGGCAGCGGCGGAGCCAAGAUUCGAGUUUAGUGCGGGCAACUUUUUUCGACGUCGAACGUCAAGGUUUUUGGUCAUGGAUUUUGUGAUGAUAAAAAAAUACUCCAAUUUCACAUUUCAUCGUAAAAGUUUUUGGCUGCACCGAAGAAGUUAGAUUCGUUGAUAGCACCACAUUUCGGUUGUUGACAACAACGGCUAGUCGGACGCAUUUUCGCUCUGAGGUUGAAUAGUGGCCAAUUGGCGUCGCAAGGAUCAGUGGAGUCGAAAAUUGGGAGUUCUUCAACUUUGUCAGAAUUGGAUAGUAGAACUCUUCAAGGUA
Molecule: long non-coding RNA, 644 nt
Filed under: Olea europaea subsp. europaea
Lineage: Eukaryota; Viridiplantae; Streptophyta; Magnoliopsida; Lamiales; Oleaceae
Source: RNAcentral